GACGAACGCUGGCGGCGUGCUUAACACAUGCAAGUCGAACGGAAAGGCCCUGCUUUUGUGUCGUGCUCGAGUGGCGAACGGGUGAGUAACACGUGAGUAACCUGCCCUUGACUUUGGGAUAACUUCAGGAAACUGGGGCUAAUACCGGAUAGGAGCUCCUGCUGCAUGUUGGGGGUAGGAAAGUGUCGGCGGUUGGGGAUGGACGCGACGCUUCCGAGCGUGUUGGUGGGGUGGUGGCUUACCAAGGCUUUGUCGGGUAGACGGCCUGCGGGGGUGACCGGCCUGAUGGGGACAAGGAUACGGCACAGACUACUCCGGGAGGCAGCAGUGGAGAAUAUUGCCACAUGGACGUAAGCCUGCUGCAGGAACGAAGCGUGCGGGAUGACGGACUUAGGGUGGUACACGGCUGUCGCCUGUGACGAAGCGCGAGUGACGGUAAUAGGUAAAGAAGCCCCGGCUAAAUACGUG
This 468-nucleotide ribosomal RNA is filed under the name uncultured bacterium. RNAcentral's name for it is "partial 16S ribosomal RNA". It matches the Rfam family "Bacterial small subunit ribosomal RNA", at positions 28 to 507 of the family's 1533-position model. The record is from RNAcentral.